GCCUUGGGCUCACCUGGGAACUGCAGUGGAUACUGGGCGACUAGAGUGGUAGAGGGUAGCGGAAUUCCUGGUGUAGCAGUGAAAUGCGUAGAGAUCAGGAGGAACAUCAAGGGAAGGCAGCUACCUGGUCCAAAAAAAAAAAGAGGCACGAAAGCGUGGGGAGCAAACAGGAUUAGAUACCCUGGUAGUCCACGCCCUAAACGAUGCGAACUGGAUGUUGGGUGCAAUUUGGCACGCAGUAUCGAAGCUAACGCGUUAAGUUCGCCGCCUGGGGAGUACGGUCGCAAGACUGAAACUCAAAGGAAUUGACGGGGGCCCGCACAAGGGGGAGUAUGUGGUUUAAUUCGAUGCAACGCGAAGUU
This 362-nucleotide ribosomal RNA is filed under the name Stenotrophomonas sp. CK34. RNAcentral describes it as "partial 16S ribosomal RNA". It matches the Rfam family "Bacterial small subunit ribosomal RNA", at positions 600 to 968 of the family's 1533-position model. The record is from RNAcentral. Lineage: Bacteria; Pseudomonadati; Pseudomonadota; Gammaproteobacteria; Lysobacterales; Lysobacteraceae.